UACGGAGGGUGCGAGCGUUAAUCGGAAUCACUGGGCGUAAAGCGCGCGUAGGCGGCUUUUCAAGUCAGGGGUGAAAUCCCACGGCCCAACCGUGGAACUGCCUUUGAAACUGUAGAGCUUGAGUGUCGGAGAGGGUGGCGGGAUUCCAGGUGUAGGAGUGAAAUCCGUAGAUAUCUGGAGGAACACCGGUGGCGAAGGCGGCCACCUGGACGACAACUGACGCUGAGGUGCGAAAGCGUGGGUAGCAAACAGG
Molecule: ribosomal RNA, 253 nt
Filed under: uncultured bacterium
Lineage: Bacteria
Description: partial 16S ribosomal RNA
Rfam family: Bacterial small subunit ribosomal RNA
Source: RNAcentral